AAUGUGAUGUUCUACAGUCUUAUGAUGCAUCUGAACGUUCAUCUUCUGCAGCUCCAGAUUCAACACUGAUUCCAGUCAGCAGCUCAAACUCUGAGACGACAUCAAGCCGAACUACAGCAGCAGCUCCUACAAAAGAUAAACAGAUCAUUACCUCAAACUCUGAGACGACUACAGCUGCUCACAGACCUGCAGUUACUCCACAGAAGGUGAUUGUGAUUAUUGUAGAGUUUGCAGUGUUUGCUGCUCCUACUGUGAUUCUUCUUCAGAUCAUCUGUGAAAGAAGAGCUGGGAGGAAGGACUCGCAGCAUCCAGAGGAAAUAGAGAUUAAUACAAUAUUAGAGUAAAAUACUCCACAAAUAACAGAAUACUGCAAGAUUUAUCUUCAUGUCAAUGCUAUUACGGGUGUUUGCAUGCAACUUUCAGGAAUAUUUUCCAUACUGUACUGAAUCCUUCAAAUAUAAUAUUAAAUACAGUGAUCAACAGAGCAAGAAGGUACCUUUAAUGAACAUAAGUGAUUGUUACAGAAAUCAUAAUAUAAACACAUGGUCAUUUUCUAAUCUUGAUUCAUCUGAUCAUUACAAUAAACUUUUUACAGAAGGCUUUCUAAAUGUUGUAAUAUCCUAUUUUAGCUGAUGAUGCUACAAAUGUCUGUUAAUUAUCAUAUACGACAUAUUCACAGAUAUAUUUUGAUGUCUUUUAUAUUUUUUCACUGAUCAUUUCAAUGCAAAAUCCUUACUUAUGAAAAUAUAUGAAGGAUUUUCCCCACAGAUCACGCUUCAACAUGUUGUGAUGUCAAAUAUGUGGAAAUAUAAAGUCACGAUUUACAAACCA
Long non-coding RNA from Cyprinus carpio (common carp), 831 nucleotides. RefSeq lists it as uncharacterized. The record is from RefSeq and is a predicted model, not a curated record. Lineage: Eukaryota; Metazoa; Chordata; Actinopteri; Cypriniformes; Cyprinidae. The transcript has 4 exons.